RNAcentral lists this long non-coding RNA (1641 nucleotides) under Sus scrofa (pig). RNAcentral describes it as "lncRNA (ENSSSCG00060042858.1)". Lineage: Eukaryota; Metazoa; Chordata; Mammalia; Artiodactyla; Suidae. The record is from RNAcentral.
CUCAGUGCGUUAAGGAUCCCGUUGCCCCUGGUUGGGAAAGUGCGAGUAGCAACUGUGACGUGCGCCGGACUCCUCCCGCCGAAGGGGAGUGAGAAGGGGAGUUGUGCCCUGGGGACAAGUUCUAAUUGAGCGGCUGGAGAGGAAUCCUCCAGUAAUAGCUCGCCUGCCCCUCCGUUCAGUCCCCGCCCGAAGUCCUGCCCAAGUGGGAAGGAGGAAGGAACCGGCGCGCUUGCAUCAUGAGCACCUCGAACUCAGAGACGCCGACACCGGAUCCCUGAGCGCUGACCCCGAGCGCAGAGACCUUGGCCAAGGGGCCGCUUUGCAGCCACGGCUGGUGACGCCAGAAAUCGAGAGGAGUUUCGAGAGACAACUGAGGGGUGGAAACCGAAACCCCGAGGAGGGAGUUCUCAGAACUUUUCUGCUGGUUGCAAACACCUACGAUCUCCCAACCCGUGAGGGCAGCACUGGGCGGACACACCCCGACGGGGAUGCUCUUAGCCUCCGGGAGGCUCUAGGCGGGCCCCAGGCCUCCCGGGCGGAGGACCGCGCCCCACCGACCGCAGGCCUCAGAGCCCAGAGACGGGGCUUCCUCAGGCUUGGACAAAAGACUUUGGAAGGUACUCCGUGGUGGAAGUGUAGACACAGCCCAGGCUCCUUUUUUCUGGCUAGUCUCCUGAGACUGCUGCGGGGAAUGUCACUGACUCACACUACAGGUCUACUUUUGCUGACACUGCUGCUGCUGCUAAAACCCAGGAAGACUCUGCGCUGUGAGUGUCCUGGGAUCUGGAGACCUGGCAGGCGGGUGGGGGGGUUCCUGGCAGGUGGUUGCCUGUCCACCUCUUCUUAGGAGGACAGUGAUGUCACUUACAGCCAUUAUGCAGGGACCCAGGCUAAAGCACUGUCCCUGGUCCUAUGUUCAUGCGACAGCUCUCCCUGUCCUGACAAGUGCCACCUUCUACCCCCGGAAGCCUUUCCUGAGUACCUAGACCCAUUAUGAAUGUAGUAUAUGUGGCAUGGUGUUUUUUUCCCUUUUUUGAAACUUCUGUCUCUUCAUACAAAUUUUAAGUCCCUGGAGGAUAAUUAUAUUUUUGGAACCUCAGAAGUUGUUACACAACACCAAAAACAUCUGUCAGAUGAAAACAUCUGGCAACCCUGUAUGUACCUGAAGGAUCACGGUGGCCUCCCGGCAUCUCCCUAAACCUGAGACCGUUAAAGGGGGGGCAGGACAGAGGCCACAGCAGCCACAGUGGGACCUCGCAUGGACACCCCACCUCUGCAGCCAGGCCCUUCAGGGGGGUCUCCGGGGACACACCUGUGCUUUUGACUCACAGAUGCUCACUCGCUCUGCCUCGACUUCGCUGUCACAUCUCAGUCCAGACCCGGACAGCCCUGGUGUGAAGUCCAGGGCUCAAUGGACACAAAGCCUCUCCUCCAGUAUGACAGUGACAGCAACCAGGUCACAGCUUCGGUCCCCCUGGGGAAGAAGGUAAAUGGCACCAAAGCAUGGAGAGACUUGACUGGAACCCUGGGAGGAGUGGGCGAGAGCUCAGAAUGGUCCUGCAUGUCAUCCAGCUGGGGACAGAGGAGACCACGGGUGAGUAUGGGGAGGGGGUGGGGAGGUGGGGGACAGUGAGCAAGGGA